UAGGGAAUCUUCGGCAAUGGACGAAAGUCUGACCGAGCAACGCCGCGUGAGUGAAGAAGGUUUUCGGAUCGUAAAACUCUGUUGUUAGAGAAGAACAAGGACGUUAGUAACUGAACGUCCCCUGACGGUAUCUAACCAGAAAGCCACGGCUAACUACGUGCCAGCAGCCGCGGUAAUACGUAGGUGGCAAGCGUUGUCCGGAUUUAUUGGGCGUAAAGCGAGCGCAGGCGGUUUCUUAAGUCUGAUGUGAAAGCCCCCGGCUCAACCGGGGAGGGUCAUUGGAAACUGGGAGACUUGAGUGCAGAAGAGGAGAGUGGAAUUCCAUGUGUAGCGGUGAAAUGCGUAGAUAUAUGGAGGAACACCAGUGGCGAAGGCGGCUCUCUGGUCUGUAACUGGCGCUGAGGCUCGAAAGCGUGGGGAGCAAACAGG
RNAcentral lists this ribosomal RNA (429 nucleotides) under Chloroflexota bacterium. Its description in RNAcentral is "Chloroflexi bacterium partial 16S ribosomal RNA". It matches the Rfam family "Bacterial small subunit ribosomal RNA", at positions 355 to 776 of the family's 1533-position model. Lineage: Bacteria; Bacillati; Chloroflexota. The record is from RNAcentral. RNAcentral also lists the same sequence under 1 other name.